ACAAGUAUUGUUGCAAAUUCAGGUCUAUUUCUUUGAUCUUCAAUGGUCAUUUGGAUAUCUGCUAUAAUAUUUGGUUGUUUAAUGGCUAGGAAUGCUUGUUGCCUAAUUAAAAAACCUGAAUGAUAACUAGAAAAUGUUCUUUGUUGAACUAUACUUUCAUUUUUUUUUAAUUGUUUUUAUCGUAUUUGUGAUGUUAUUUUUCUUGUUAGCAUAUAUCCAUUAUUAAUUUGACACUCACUGCUACUGAGAUUUGGGGUUUUAUAAUGUUGUUCUUGUUGUAUUUAUGCUGUGAUUUGAACUUGGAGAGUAACUAUGUGUAGCUGGUGAGGGCUGACUCCUUUGUGUAGCCCAAAUAUUAAAUGAAAAGAGAAAGAGAGAGGGGGAGAGGGGGGUUGUUUACAAUUACAUAAUGCUCCAUAAUCACCAUGAUAAACUGGAUUUUAACUGAUUUUGUUUUGUUAUUAAUGAAUGACUUCAUAUGCUUCUUUAGAAUUGAAUGACCCUCUACUUAAAUUAAGGUUGCAGUUAUUGAAGUUCUCUAUCCAAUCGUUAUCAUGUUACGAAAACGCUUACCCUUCCUAAAAUUUUAGAUUGUCCUUGCCUACAGGCUCAAAAUGAGGAAUUUUCUG
This 629-nucleotide unclassified non-coding RNA is filed under the name Hevea brasiliensis (rubber tree). The record is from RNAcentral. Lineage: Eukaryota; Viridiplantae; Streptophyta; Magnoliopsida; Malpighiales; Euphorbiaceae.